AGUGAGCGCUGGCGGUAGGCCUAACACAUGCAAGUCGAACGGCAGCACAGUAAGAGCUUGCUCUUACGGGUGGCGAGUGGCGGACGGGUGCGGAAUACAUCGGAAUCUACUUUUUCGUGGGGGAUAACGUAGGGAAACUUACGCUAAUACCGCAUACGACCUACGGGUGAAAGCAGGGGAUCUUCGGACCUUGCGCGAUUGAAUGAGCCGAUGUCGGAUUAGCUAGUUGGCGGGGUAAAGGCCCACCAAGGCGACGAUCCGUAGCUGGUCUGAGAGGAUGAUCAGCCACACUGGAACUGAGACACGGUCCAGACCCCUACGGGAGGCAGCGGUGGGAAUAUUGGACAAUGGGCGCAAGCCUGAUCCAGCCAUACCGCGUGGGUGAAGAAGGCCUUCGGGUUGUAAAGCCCUUUUGUUGGGAAAGAAAAGCAGCAGGUUAAUACCCCGCUGUUCUGACGGUACCCAAAGAAUAAGCACCGGCUAACUUCGUG
RNAcentral lists this ribosomal RNA (491 nucleotides) under uncultured bacterium. RNAcentral's name for it is "partial 16S ribosomal RNA". It matches the Rfam family "Bacterial small subunit ribosomal RNA", at positions 29 to 507 of the family's 1533-position model. The record is from RNAcentral.